GUGGGGAAUAUUGGGCAAUGGGGGCAACCCUGACCCAGCGACGCCGCGUGGGUGAAGAAAUCCCUCGGGAUGUAAAGCCCUGUUGUAUGGGAAGAGCAGAAGACGGUACCAUACGAGGAAGCCCCGGCAAACUACGUGCCAGCAGCCGCGGUAAUACGUAGGGGGCAAGCGUUGUCCGGAAUUACUGGGCGUAAAGCGCACGCAGGCUGAAUUAUAAGUCGGUAGUCAAAUACGGAGGCUCAACUUCCGGAUAUCUAUCGAUACUGUAAAUCUAGAGUAUGUGAGAGGGAAGCGGCAUUCCCGGUGUAGCGGUGAAAUGCGUAGAUAUCGGGAGGAACACCAGUGGCGAAGGCGGCUUCCUGGCACAAUACUGACGCUCAUGUGCGAAAGCUAGGGCAGCGAACGGGAUUAGAUACCCUGGUAGUCC
This 427-nucleotide ribosomal RNA is filed under the name uncultured bacterium. RNAcentral describes it as "partial 16S ribosomal RNA". It matches the Rfam family "Bacterial small subunit ribosomal RNA", at positions 354 to 796 of the family's 1533-position model. The record is from RNAcentral.